AUUGUAAACCUCAGGUGAUUGGAAUCCUGGGUAAUUUUGUUUGAUGUUUUACAAAGGAAAACAGAAAGUUUGAAACAUAAAGUAAAGCUUUUUUUUUAUAUCUAUUUUUUAUGCAGCAAGCAGGGUUUCUGUUACAGUAUAAAGCAGGAUAUGAGACACGUGCUGUUCAGUUGAUCGGGUUUCUGUUGCUAAGCAACUAGCUGUAAUGUUCCAACACCGCAUCGUUUCACAUUGUACACUUUUCACACCACAGUGCAAGGUAUAACAUUGCAAAAGCACUGCUAACCCUGCUCCAAGAAGAGUUUCAUGAUGCUGUGUACAAACAGGGCUAACCCAGCAUGUAAAUUACAAGUGUGAAACGUUCCUCUAACCCGGGUUAAAAGGCGGGGCUUAGAAUGACUGUACAAGACUUAUUAGUCGAAUUUACUGGUUACUGGAGUUUAAUGAUUUUAAUUGUUACUGUUGUUGUUUAUUAUAAGUAAUAGUGUAAAACAGGCGGGUGUUAAACUCAAGUUCAAGGUUGUUGUUUUUUUUAAUGAAAAAUUGCAUAUAACAAAUUUCUUAUUCAAAAGUGAAUAGAAAAAAGAAACCAAUCCACAGACACUUAAUUAACUUCUGGCAUUGAUGUGACAAGACUACUUUUGUAGCUAUACCGCCAUCUCGUGGUGAAUUGUGGUGAAUUGUACAGCAAAUGACCAGCAGAGGGCGCGCGCGUCCACGUCCCACGUCCCACACACACACACACACACACACACACACACACACACACACACACACACACACACACACAUACACACACACAAACACACAGAGUCCUGGAUGACGGGGAGGAACGUCAUGGAGGGAAAAAGGAAUGACGCAGCAGUUUGAGGCCAUAGGAGGGGCUGCUGUCCAGGGAAAAAGAAAUCAACACAACACUAAAGUGCUCACACACACACACACACACACACACACACACACACACAGUACCCGAGAGUACUCCUGGAUUCAGGCUCAUGAAUAGGACCAUUAGCAGGCGGCACUGCACUCAGACUUGCUUGCUCUGUAUUGAGCGUGUGGUCAGAGAAGAAGCAGCCAUGAGACGAUCAUGAUCGGGACGACUGCUCUGCAGAGCUGACUGAUCCUGUCACCUGCUGUAUUUCAUUCCUCUUUUUAACCAUCUCUCUCUCAUUCCCCUUUUUUCUCCUUCACCACUUGGCUGCCCUCCAUCACGAGGGCCUAUCUGUUACUUUGUCAGCUCGAGUGACGUGCAUUAGAUGAGGGCUGGAGGAACUUACCCAGAAGGCUUUGCUACAAUCUAACACACUGUCCUUUGAAAAAAACAGUGAAAGAAUGCAGUAAAAAAAAAACAACUUUGAUGAUCGGCUGGCUCAAAUCAAGUCUUGUUCCAUAUGUAGUAAAUGCUAAAAAUGCAAGACUAUAAAAGAGCUCGGCUGCAUUCCAGUACUACUCGUAACAUUUUUCCUUGUCCGGCCGCCCUCCUUUUUUGUCCCCCUUUGGCAGUCGUCCAUCUUGAAGGAUGUUGUUACAAAUGUUUUAGAUGAUGAUGAGAUGAGCCAUACUCAGGAGCAGAGCUUAUUCACAAGGCAUUACUUAAGCUUAACCUUUUAUAUAAAAAAGUCACCUUUAUUAGGGCUUCAGUAACACAAUUAACCCAGAAAGCACUGCUGCUUAUUGCAAUACGUUUUAAAGUUCUAACAAAAUCGCUUUAAUUGUUUUCACUGUACAUACUGUACUUGGAUGCUGUUGGCAUGGUAACAAACAGCUACAUGGUCCAGGGCCUCUGAGCUCGGUGUCUGUCUGCAACCUGUCCUGCUCUGUUCACUUAAUGCUUGCAUGGGUUUCCUCGGGGUUCUCCGGUUUUCUCUGACCUUAUAACAUCAUCAGUAGGUGGACUGGCUGUGUUAAAUUCAGCUGUGUAUGUACAGUACAUCCCAUGCACAGACUAUUUCGUCCUUAAUAAUGGUGUUCCUGAGAUAAGCUCCAGAUCCUUAUCCAUAACCCUUUGUGUAUGCAGGUCUGUUAUAAAAACGCAUUAGCUGAGAGCCAGCACUGCUCCUUACAUGGCACUGCAAGCGCACAGUGAUGUUAUGUACCCUCGUUGCACUGCAGCAUGGGCACUUUAACAAGAGAAUUGGAGCAUAGCCCAUGGUGAUCUGACACUGAAUAGGCUGCACUCCUGUCUGUCCAGGAUUGCUGAGUUGGUGUUAACAUGGUAAUGCUGCCGGUGUUUAGACAGGAAGUGAGCGAUGAUGUGGCAGCACACCACCUACGCACCACUCCGUGACUCAGAGAGAAAAUAACACUGCGGUUUGUUCACUCUCCUGUAGUGUGCACUACUAGUUUUGUAGCUACAGACUGCCUCGAUAGAUAAUCUCUUCAUCUCAGCGCUGAUCAGUGUAAACGUUUGGAUAAAAAGGGAUGCUAAAUGUCUUCCUAUGCUCAGGUGCUCAUGUUGAUGGCAGGUGUGUGAGUGUGAGUGUGAGUGUGUGUGUGUGUGUGUGUGUGUGUGUGUGUGUGUGUGUGUGUGUGUGUGUGUGUGUGUGUGUGUGUGUGUGUGUGAGUGUGUGUGUGUGUGUGCACAGGUGGGAAUGGAAAUAAGAUAUGAGGGCACUGAGACAACACUGACCAUGACGGCACCCUGCUGUCGCACAAUUCCAAGUGUAGCCGGUCUGCCCUUCUGUGUCGUAUCUGGCUACCAUUCUGCGUUGUGUUCUUGUGUGAUGUAUAAUAAGAGGCCAAAGUCGUCUGCUGAUUCAAUGUGUGCUUUAUCCAAAAUUGCUGCAUAAAUCAGAAACAUGCAGCUAUAACAUGCAGUUGCACACUCGUCGCCUGCCCGCUCUGCUCAGGUCUCAUUCAGACUGAAGCAAGAGCAUAAUACAAGAGACAUUGUAUUUCACAAUAACAAUAUAUAGAUAUAAAAUAUAACAAUAACAAAGACCAUAUGUAAAUUAUCUAGGAGAACUUAAUUACUUAUUACAUAUGUAUCAGAAAUAACAAAAUACUCAUUAACAAUAUGAAAUACAUUAAGUCAAUUCAAAUCAUCAACAUCUUAAGAGAUAUAAUUAUAUACAUACACAUAUAACCAAUACAAGGUUAUGCACCAAGAAAAAAAAGAGAUGGUUCCAUACCUGCAUAAAUCAGAAACAUGCAGUUAUAACCGUUGCACACUCGUCACCUGCCCCUGCUAAACAUUCCGACACAAACAUGAAAUUAGCAGCCACGCUUAACAGGCCGACUUCUAUGCUAACGGACAACGUGACACUGCAUUCCUUUAAUUACAUACAACUUCUGCCACAGGUAAAACACAUUCGGACACAAAAACAGCGUUUUAUUGUACAUAUAUAUAUCUCUUCUGAUAUUUAACAAACAUGGAAUCAUUAUUUAACAAUAACAUUUUAUUAUUUCCACAUUAUAAACAGGGCACUCAAAACACCUACCUCGCUCUGCUCAGGUCUCAUUCAGACUGAAGCAAGAGCGCGCAGCGCUGACGUCACAGACGAAACACCCACAAAACUUAAAGAAAUAAAAUAACUUUACUGCUCCCUUUUCCCUUUUUGUUUUUCGAAUAGCUCAUUAUUGAUCCCAACCAAAAACAAGGAUUUUGCGUGAAUUAAAAAUAAAUGAAUUAAUGCACAUCUCUUAACACCGGUUACACAAGCACUGUGCUUUUUUUCAAAAUAGAAUUGUAUAUAGUUGUUUUUACCAGCUGUAAAUGAGCCAAAUGAAUAAACUGUAUCUCAGAAUGAAAACUCUCUACUAUCAGUGUUACUGAAUUACACAUGAUAUUUAGAAGUGUUUUGCUUUCAGCAUUAACAUAGACAUUUGGAUUUAAAACAUUGAAAUAAUGAGUGACAGGUGUCUCCUCCUUACAUACAAUACUGGGUUGUCGAAGCCCAAAAAUAUCACGCAUCGCUAUGUGUGAUGCCGGUGCAUCAUCAGCCUGUCUAGUGUAAUCAUUCCCUAAACAGCACAUGACUUACAGUGUGAGCCAGUUACUUAACGUAUAAGCUCUUGUUAAAGCACAGAGUUGCUCUGUGUAUUCUCCAGCAUCUUAUCUACGCUGAAGAUAAAUCAAUUAUAAAUUACUAUCAUGCAUCAUUUACUGGCUUCCCACAUAAUGAAUCAGUCCUGAAUUUAUGGCAUGUAAAUAUCAUCCAGGGAGGCACGGUGGCUUGGUGGUUAGCAGGUUUGCCUCACACUCCCAGGGUUGGGGGUUCGAUUCCUGCCUCUUGGAGUUAGAAUGUUCUCCCCAUGCUUCAAGGUUUCCUCCCCCCAGUCCAAAGACGUGUUUUAGACUAAUUUCUCAUCUCUAAAUCAUCCGUAAUGUGUGUGUUUGUUUGUGCCCUGCCUUGUGCCCUGAUUCUCUUGGGAUAGACUCCAGGUUCCCUGUGACCCAGUAGAAUAAGCAAGGUAGAGAAUGGAUGGAGAAUAGAUUAUCAUUCUUUGAGCAAGGACACACAAAACACACAACUGCUCAGCGGUAUAAAUGAGAUAAACAUAUGUUGCCAUGGAUAAGGGUCUCUGGCAAAUUCUGUAAAUGUGUAAUACUGACACAAUGUUACCCUGUCCUGAUUGGCUGCCUCCUCCAGCCAUGGACUUCCAGCCUGAAAGCUCUGAUAUAAUGCAGAGUCAUCUUUAAAUGUCAGCGCUAAGUGAAAGCAAUAGCCAAAUCUAGUAGCAGACUAAAGACUAAAGAGAUGGAAGUCGGUCACUUUUAUUAUCAAAGUUAUUACUCCAAUCACAGAUUUAUAAUUAUCUGAUCUCUAAUUCUUUGCUGUCACUAGGUUAAAGCUUAGAACACCGGUGAGCCAGUGACAGUGUCGGGUGUGACCAAGGCUCAUUCAUGCUUGUGGGAGUGAAGGCUAGCUCAUCUAGAUCCUGCCAAAAAGCUAGUGUAGUACAAAUUGCUAAUAAGAAAAGAUAAGAUAAGAUGUACCUUUAUUCGUCCCACAAUGGGGAAAUUUUUCUGUUACAGCAGCAAAGACAAAGAAAUGCGAAUAUAUAAAAAAUGAAAGACAUAAUAUGUAAUAUACAGAACACAAUGUAUAAAUACAAAGAAGAAUAAAGAGAGCACGAGUAAGUCGUUACGCAACAGACAUAUUGCACACAGGUAAUAUUGCACAUUUUUCAAAAUAUCGCACUUAAACAGUAAUCCAGUGUGUACUGUAAUUAUGGUGACUGGUUCACUGGGAGCAGCUUUGGUUGUAAAGUCUACUAGCAGCAGGGAGAAAAUAAAGUUCAUGUUGGCUAUGAUAGAAAGUGCAGAAACACACAGUGCAUCACAGCUUGCUACUGUAUGUGAGGGCUGUGUAGCCUCAGUUACAGUUACUAAACAAUGCAGCAGGCCAAGUAUCCCAUCCCUUCAUGGCAACAGUAUUCCCUAAAGACAGUCUUUCAGCAGUAUAAUGCGCCCUGCCACACUGCAAACACUGAUCAGGAAAUGGUUUGACUUGGUAUCUGUGGCACGUGCUGGACAAACAAGUUUGAUCCGUAUUGGAUAUGCUGUUAAAGUAUUGGUGUCUGAUACCCCAGCACACCUUCAGAGGUCUUGUGGAGUCCGUGCCUCAACAAGACAGAGCUGAGAUGUUUUACUGGUACAAAAUGAGGCAGGUGGUUUUAAUCUUAUGGCUGAUCCGUGUGUGUGUUCCGUUUCCAGGCUGUUUAAUUUAUCUAGUGAAACUUUUGGGACAUUUUGUUAUGUCAUAGUGUAUGUGUUUGGUACAUACGCUCAUAUGCACAUGGCUUUAUUUUACAUUCAGUGAUUCGUGUGGACGUGAACCACUGACAAUAGCCAGUCUAAAAAAAAACGCCUCUCUUCCACUCUCUGUCAUCAAUAUUUUUCAGUCUGUCCUCACACAGUGCACAUGUUAUUCCUGUCUUGGUUUGUAGCAUCCGUCUGCUACGCUUCUCUCUCUUUUUUAAUUUCCCAUCUCGUAAUCCCUCCUCCUGCAAUCCAUCAUCUUCCCUUGUGUUUCCAUGCCCUCAUUCAUUCUUCACUCAUGUUUUUCCUGCACUCUUCCUUCUGUGUCCUCAUUCUCUCCCCAUCUUUCUCCCUGUCUCUCUGUUUCACCCCAUCUCUCUCUGAUGUCACUGCAUUGAUCAGGCAGCAGCUUAGCUGCAUUAAAAUAUGCAUUAAGAAGGGCAGCAGAAUGCGAGAUGGAUCAGUCUAUCCUGCAUGUGUGAGGCAGACACCAUUCACACGCUGAUAUGUGUGUGUGUGUGUGUGUGUGUGUGUGUGUCUGUAUGCAAAUGUAUAGACACUGUUUUUUCCCUAAUCUCCUACCCACCGCCACCGCUGCUAACCUGAGACUGUCGUGUUUUUUUUUCAGGCAUCCCUGACAUCAGCAUCAUAGACGCCUUAAAUCUACCUGUUUUUCUUUUUUGGUCACUCUGCCUUUCACCUUUUCUGUUUCCAGACUUCAUAUCCGAUACAUAACCUCUCCUAUACUACCAUCCACCCUGUUCUCCUUUCACAGCAUGUAUCUGUACUGCUCUGCCAUUUUCCUCUCUCUCUCUCUCUCUCUCUCUCUCUCUCUCUCUCUCUCUCUCUCUCUCACACACACACACACACACACCGUCCAUCAUCUUCCCUGGUUCCCUGAAUUUUCAGCAGCAUUUCUGACGUUCACAUUGGUACCAUUCUGCAUUCCUCUUUCUUUCACUCUCUCUCUCUCUAUUCCUCUCCAUGGUCUCUCGCUUUCGACCGUUUUUCAGCCAUGUUGAUUAAAGUUGCAGUGGCUAUUCCAGAGCAAAGUCAGUGCCACCUCUGAAGCUCAGCGGAAAGAGGGUUCUGAAAAGAGAGAGAGGGAGACAGAGAGAAAGAGAGAGAGAGAGAGCACGCACGAGAGAGAUAGAGAGAGAGAGAGAGAGAGAGAGAGAGAGAGAGAGAGAGAGAGAGAGAUGACGCACAGACUGAGAGCAGUGCUAGACAGCAAGCAACGAGUCAAACGAGUCAAUUUUUAUGUUCGUUGCAAGAUGGCGUAUUUUUCUGUUUCGUCUCUUUCACCUCAGUCUCUGAUGAACAGAAAUGAAUAGUACAUUCUACGUAUUUCCUUUUCUGCAGAAAGCACUGUGAUGCGAUUUUUGCUCCGCGUAUGACUGGACGGAAGCAGCUGGGUUUCAUUUUGCUGAGGGUUUCCUUCCAUAUUGUGAGACGCAAGCAAUGUUCAUCAGCCAUUUUGUUUUCACCAAGGCUGAAUCAUUCUCUGGUUCGUGUUUUAAAAUGGCCGCGCUGCAGUGAGGUAAUGGGCAGCAGUGCACAUCAGAUGAAAAAACAACAACAACAACAAAAGAACGAGAAACACGAGCAUCAUAAAAGAAUUCAAAUAGGAACCCAAUCAGAUGAUGUACAGAUGCGGAGAGCCAGGAAGAGAGACAAUACUAAUGUGACUAAGGAAGGGAACCAAAAGAGAAAGAAAAGUGAAGUGGAGCGUACCUAAGACAGAGCGACAGAAAAGAAGAAGAUGAAGGAGGAGAGACAGAGUGAAUUGGCUGUUAAUAACAAGAUAAUAACCAUUUAAUAAGAAUGUUAUUAAAGCACAAAUGUCGCUCUUCUAUGUUAACAUAAAAGAAUCAAUGUUAAAAUUGAAAUACUUAUAAAACAUUAUACAGGAAAUUAGUGUAAGAGCGUUUCAAUAAUUUAACACUGAUAGCACUGAGCACAUACAAACUGGACACACACACAGAUACACAAACACACACACACACACACACACACACACACACAGUGGUAUUAGUGGUAUGAACUGCAAGUUUAUUAACCUUUGGAUGUACAGGAGAUUGAAAAGCAACAACAAUAUCUCCGAAAUAUUACGACUGACAUGAUAUGGUGAGGAAAUGAAGAAUGUUUCCCUUGAGUAGAUUUGGCAGGAAGCAUUAUUGUGCAGCAUUUGUAUUGAUGAUGAAAGACUCUCUUCUCCUCUCCUCUCCUCUCCUCUCCUCUCUUUUCCUUUCUUUGUCACUUUGCAGAACAGUUCUGAUUAGCUGUAGCACAGUAAAGGCUAUCAAGUCUGUAAACAUCAGCGGGUCUCGGUUUCCACUGUUGAAGCUCUGCUGCCAUCUUGUGUUUUUUCAAACAUUGAGCCUCAUCGAUAGUCGAUAGUUAGUGUGGGUUUGUGUUGUGUUUGUGUUAUAACAGGACAUCAGGCCACAUCUAUCAAAAUCUGUGAUAUUGUGUCUGUGUAAGCAAAGAACAAACAAAACAUCUUUCGAUUUCGAUAAACCUUUCGGAAACACAGACUUUCUUCAUAUUCAGGUGUUUAUAUUGAUGAAAGGCAUCACAGUAAGAAUAGGCCUGAUGUAUUCAUGAUGAGCUGUAUGAUGAGAGUACUGUACACACCUCACUAUAGGAUGAGACAGACCAGACUGGUCACUUAUCUGUCUUUGAAAUGUAUAAGCAGCAAGAAAUUAAAGCAUGGGCAAAAUUUGGAAAGGAAUAUCACAGGAUCCUUUUCCUAAUUGUACAGCAUUAAAAGACAAAGACAAGGCAAAUUAAACUGACUUAUAAGCCAGCUUUCAUCAUUUAAAAAAAAAUCAUACUGUUGGUCUGUAAAAAACAAUUUCCCUCAUAGGUGCAGCAUGUGCUAACUCUUCAAAAAGAUGUAGCUUAGUCUUAAAAUGGUUUAAGGUUAGCUUUUAUAUUUAAUUUAUCUUUAAUGCAGGGGAUAGAAAGUUUGCCUCAAACCUCCAGGGAUUAGGGUUCGAUUCCCAACUCCCCAUGACUUUGGGGUUUCUUCUCCCAUCCAAAGAAAGGCAUUGUAAGCUGUCUGCUAUUGUCCCUAGUGUAUGUGUGUGCAAUAAACUGGCAUCAUGUCCAGGGUGCACCCUGACUUGUGCACCCUGACCAAGUUCUCCUGGAAUAAGCUCCAGGUUUCCCACGACCCGUUCAGAUAGUAUGGAUGGUAUCAAUAAUGGAAUUAGUAUGAAAUAGCAGGUUUGUGAAAUGUAUUAAAAAUGGGUGUUGUGUGUGUGUGUAAUUGAAAUAAACCAGCAUAAUCUGCAAUAUUAAUGUAUCCAUAUGUUUGCAGUAACUCCUUUACAAGUGAUUUGAUUUGAAGCUUAGUCUUCUUAUGCAUAAAUUUACACACACUCAGAAGUAGUGUUUUCAGAAUUUACACCCUUUUAUGAACACCAAAUGUCACCAACUUGAUAAAUGAGGCCCAGUGUUUUGUUCCAUGUGUUCACUAUUAAAUGGAAGCCUGAUGGGAUUGGGAAAACGCAGUUGCUCAUUAGAAGUGUGAAUAAAUAAUUAGAUAUCAUCAUCAUCUGUGCCAUUUUAUUAUUUAAACAAGCAUUUUGUCCUGGUUUGUUCCUUGUCAUUUUUUUAUUUUUAUUUUUGCCCCUUCAGAAGGUUGAGACAUAGUUACAGAUCACCUGCAAGUACACAUCCAAAUCAAGAAUCAGAGACAAGAACACAAAAUCUAUAUUCACAGCUCACUUGGCAGUAUGCUGAUCCUUGAAGACAGGCAGUGAUUCAUGCACCUUAAUGCAAGACAUUUUGUUUAUUAUAUCUUUUUAAGUAUUGUAAUUCCUAAUGAAAUAAUUUGGAAUACAUUUGGAAUACAUUUCCAGGUUCAAAUAUUUAUAGACCCCACUGUUUGUAGGUCAUUUUUAUGCAUGUGUAUGUGCGAACAGAAAGUGGGGCUUGUUUCUAUAAAUAAAAGUCUCAAUUUUUAAAGAUGUGAAAUUCAUAACCCGUUGUAUUUCCAUUUGUGCGUUUUACCCUGCAAGUAGUAAUGUGGUUUAUUUGGUUUAUCUUGUUACCUUGUUGUAUUUCUUACAUGAACACCAUCAGUGUGCUCUUUAUUUGGAAAGGAUCAGGACUGUGUCUUAAUCCCUGCCAAGGCUAUGUUCUGAGAACUCUGUAGGAUCACUCUCUUGCUGUGAUAUUAAUAAAGAACAAGGACUUCUCAAUGUCACUACAAGCUUCAUCUACCAGUUUAACUGGUUAUUUUCAGUUUUGUAAAUGCUGUUAUUUGAGAAUCACAAAAGGUGUGAUAAUGUUAAAUAAUAAGUAAAAUAAUAAAAUGUGUACUAAUGUGAAGUGGUGACAGUAUUGUGAAUACAGAACCUACUGUACAACAGGAUUAUUAAUUUGGUCAUUUUAAAUCAAUGUUAAUUGACAAUUUGUGCCUGCCCUUCUGCAAAGUUUUAAUUUGUUUAUAGUAUCUAUUUACCUCGUAUUGGUGCUACUUAAGCAGCCUUAAACAGCAAUCUACACACAUGCAUUUGGAUUUUCAUUUGAUAUUUUGGUGCUUGUAAUGGUAGUGUUGUUCUCCAUUACUACCUGGUGCUCCAUGAUCAAUGGUACUCCAUUGGUGUCACCUUUCUCUGUUAGAUCUGUGCUGGGGACAGCUAUAGAGGGCAGAUCAGCAAUUAUCCAUCUGUAGUAACCUUCCAAAUUCGGUACCUGAUUUUUUAUUUUUUUUACUGGCUAAGAUUAGUUCCUUAUGCUCUGAGACCCAUGUAGCACUGGAGAAAUAGAAAGAACAGUCCUGGUGAAGUCUUACAAGCAAAGUCACAUGUCAGUAUAUUUUAGUCAGGUUCAGGUUUGAAAUUACCUUCCUAGCUGCUCAUCUAGUUCAUCUGCCCAGGUGAUGAAGUAUGUUUCUAACUUUGAAACCUCAUUUAACUAACAGCAGUCACAACACAACCAGAGGUCUCCAUCUGGCUUGGUCAUCAUCACUAUGGGACUUGACUAAUUGGUGCUAAUGAUGUUGUUGUGUCUUUUUCCAGUUUGCUGUCUUGUAAAUGCUGGAUAUGUAGUCUGUGUGGCAUCCUGUCAAACCUGGGAAAACAAACAGUACUGGGAGAAUAUGGCAGUGAGUCCAAUUAUAGGCAGGCCAUGUUGAAGCUGCAGACUUCAUGUGCAGUUGACAUAGACAGACUGGGGUCUGAGUUAGAUUGGUUGGUUGUGCUAAAUUAACUGCAUGCAACUAUGUAACUAUAGUUACUGCAUUUGUUGCUCCUGUUCCUGUCUUCUGCUGAAGUCUGCCAGCAAGGGGUGUUCCCUUGGAGUCUGGAGUGUGAUGCCAGUGCUUCUCCAUGGUGUCAGGAGCAUCAGCUUCAUCAGCUCAACUAUUUUCAGUUUUUGGUACAUGUUAUUGCUAAUGACAGGGAAACACAAUGUUCUCUAUGAUUACACUUUAAACUCCUUUAUUCAUAACUUCAUGUAUAAACUCGAAUUUGUCAAGGUAGCCUCAGCCCUCUUGAUGGCAUCCACAAUUUCCAUUGUGCUCUCUAUGUUUUGACUCGAAACUAUUUUGUAAGUCUCAUAAGUGAGAGCAUGGGUGAAAAGAUCCAUGGAUAACUUUGCAGCAAUGUAUUCUUUCAAAUCCUUUUACCAAAGCCUGUUGGGUCAUCCUAGUAGAGUCUGAGAUUAGGGUUGAUUUUAGUUUACUUUAGUAUGCUGUACAUGACAUUUAAUCUUAAUACAAUAUUUUACACGUUGAGAAGCAAGGUCCUAGCAAAAAGUUGCAAAUCUAAGAUUUAAUCUAACAUUACAUUCAUUAACAACACAGAACCUGUACUAUUAUUACUGGCUGUUAACAUUGUAUCAGUCUUACGUUGUUUUCUCUUUCAUCCA
Molecule: RNA transcript, 11587 nt
Organism: Tachysurus fulvidraco (yellow catfish)
Lineage: Eukaryota; Metazoa; Chordata; Actinopteri; Siluriformes; Bagridae
Gene: zbtb38
Gene name: zinc finger and BTB domain containing 38
Exons: 5
Source: RefSeq, a predicted model, not a curated record